Molecule: transfer RNA, 74 nt
Filed under: bacterium
Lineage: Bacteria
Description: tRNA-Val
Rfam family: tRNA
About the family: Transfer RNA (tRNA) molecules are approximately 80 nucleotides in length. Their secondary structure includes four short double-helical elements and three loops (D, anti-codon, and T loops).
Source: RNAcentral
GCACCCUUAGCUCAGUUGGUUAGAGCAUUCGAUUCACAUUCGAAAGGCCUCAGGUUCGAAUCCUGAAGGGUGCA